UGGGGAAUUGUUCGCAAUGGGCGAAAGCCUGACGACGCAACGCCGCGUGGAGGAUGAAGAUCUUCGGGUCGUAAACUCCUUUCGAUCGGGACGAAUGAUCGGUGACCUAAUACGUCAUCGGAAUGACGGUACCGAGAGAAGAAGCCCCGGCUAACUCCGUGCCAGCAGCCGCGGUAAUACGGGGGGGGCAAGCGUUGUUCGGAAUUACUGGGCGUAAAGGGCGCGUAGGCGGCCUUCUAAGUCAGACGUGAAAUCCCUCGGCUCAACCGAGGAACUGCGUCUGAUACUGGAAGGCUUGAAUCCGGGAGAGGGAUGUGGAAUUCCAGGUGUAGCGGUGAAAUGCGUAGAUAUCUGGAGGAACACCGGUGGCGAAGGCGGCAUCCUGGACCGGUAUUGACGCUGAGGCGCGAAAGCUAGGGGAGCAAACGGGAUUAGAUACCCCCGUAGUCC
RNAcentral lists this ribosomal RNA (450 nucleotides) under uncultured bacterium. Its description in RNAcentral is "bacterial SSU rRNA". It matches the Rfam family "Bacterial small subunit ribosomal RNA", at positions 355 to 796 of the family's 1533-position model. The record is from RNAcentral.